AGGGCGAUAGCUGGGUCAAAUGGUGGAUCCAUUCCCAGCUUUCCAAGAAAUCUCCAUACUGCUUUCCAAAUUGGCUGCACCAAUCUGCAGUCCCACCAGCAAU
RNAcentral lists this microRNA precursor (103 nucleotides) under Marmota monax (woodchuck). The record is from RNAcentral. Lineage: Eukaryota; Metazoa; Chordata; Mammalia; Rodentia; Sciuridae.